UACGUAGGGGGCAAGCGUUAUCCGGAUUUACUGGGUGUAAAGGGAGCGCAGGCGGCACGGCAAGCCUGAUGUGAAAGCCCGCGGCCCAACCGCGGGACUGCAUUGGGAACUACCGGGCUGGAGUGCCGGAGAGGUAGGCGGAAUUCCUAGUGUAGCGGUGAAAUGCGUAGAUAUUAGGAGGAACACCAGUGGCGAAGGCGGCCUACUGGACGGUGACUGACGCUGAGGCUCGAAAGCGUGGGGAGCAAACAGG
RNAcentral lists this ribosomal RNA (253 nucleotides) under uncultured bacterium. RNAcentral describes it as "partial 16S ribosomal RNA". It matches the Rfam family "Bacterial small subunit ribosomal RNA", at positions 524 to 776 of the family's 1533-position model. The record is from RNAcentral.